UACGUAGGGGGCAAGCGUUGUCCGGAAUCAUUGGGCGUAAAGCGCGUGUAGGCGGCCAGGUAAGUCCGUUCUGAAAGCCCGGGGCUCAACCCCGGGAGGCGGAUGGAUACUGCUUGGCUCGAGUCCGGAAGAGGCGAGUGGAAUUCCCGGUGUAGCGGUGAAAUGCGCAGAUAUCGGGAGGAACACCAAUGGCGAAGGCAGCUCGCUGGGACGGUACUGACGCUGAGGAGCGAAAGCGUGGGGAGCAAACAGG
RNAcentral lists this ribosomal RNA (253 nucleotides) under uncultured bacterium. RNAcentral's name for it is "partial 16S ribosomal RNA". It matches the Rfam family "Bacterial small subunit ribosomal RNA", at positions 524 to 776 of the family's 1533-position model. The record is from RNAcentral.